GCUAGGCCUUGGUAGUCAGCCUCAGGUGGAGGGAUUGGCCAAAUAAGGGAACAGACCUUGGGGUCUAGCUUUCGGAAUAUAUAAUGUCUUUUUAGAAAGAGAGAAUGAGAGAAUGGUAAGGCUUGCCAGAGCCAUGCUCGCCAAGCUUAAGCCGGCCAGAGUCCCUUCAAACCUCCAGUAUCAUAAUAAAUAACUCGCUACAGUUGUAUGUGUUGUAUUUCUGUAGACGAAUUUUGUGUUUGAAGAAAAAAUAUGGCCAACCCUGAAGCUGUCAGAUGUCCUGGCUGGAAGCAUAUAGCUAAUGUCUCCUUUGUCAGAGCACUAUCCAUUGACAAGAGCAUAGCAGUCUGGACUUCUGGUACUGUCUUCUAUGGGGACAUUCUUCUCUCUACCAGCUAUAAAUAUUUAUUCUCGCCACAAAUAUUAGUAAGUACCUACUAGGUCCUCUUCUAAAUUGAUGGGUAAAAAGCAGAAUUAUAGCUGGCCUGUUCAAGGGCAGUAUGUUUGAAGAAGCAGACCACAGCAGGAGCAGCAACAAAUCCCAGCCACAGGUACGGGUUAGCCUGGGCAACAAGGGCCUGUAUCAGCAACAGAACAUGUUGACAUUGUACAGAUGGGUCAAGUAAAGCCCAGGAAGUUCAUUAGUAGCUCGCCAUGCUCAUCCUGUAUGGGAAAGGGGAGGGAAUAUGGGUAAGAACUAAGUCUGGGGAUUAAUCAUGUGUUCUGGUGUUCUGGAGACCCCCAGCCCCUGCUCUUAGGCUUGCAACUUGUUUCAGUACUCAUUAGCACAUCUCAACCAAGCCUGGGCCUGUGCACCCUCAGAAUAACAAGAGUUACUUCAUGGCAAGCUCUCCAAGCAGCUGGUAUCCCACCUAGAUAAUUAGAACAGGUUCCAUGUGCCAAUUUGGCCUCACUUUCUCAUUUUGACCCUGCUCAACUUGCCAGUAAGUACUCAGACACUCCAAGAAACACUGCGCCUGGGUGUUUACUUAACAGCCUGAUAGCAUUUAAAUUACUGUAGGCCAUAACCUUCCCUGGGUGCUUCAAGAUCAGUCUCUGCGACAGACUAGCUGGUGUAUUAAGAUCAGUCUCUGCGACAGACUAGCUGGUGUAUUAACUGUACUAACUCAAGCUGUGAGUGGAGGGCAAGAGGAAACAUUCUAAAUGUGACCCUUGGAUGAGUGUCAGGCAUGGUGGGUCAUGACAAUACUCUUAGUGGCUCUGAGGCAGAAGUAGGAGGAUCAUAAAUUCAAGCAUAUCCUGGGUUACAGAUGUAAGACACUGUUAAAAAAAAAAUCACUUAAGAAAUGCCCAUAUUGGGGUUGGGGAUGUAGCUCAGUGGUAGAGCGCUUGCCUAGCAAGCGCAAGGCCCUGGGUUCGGUCCCCAGCUCCGGAAAAAAAAGAAAAGAAAAAAAAAAAGAACUUUUGCAACAAAGGUGGGGAAUGCCUCUGGGAUACACAACUGUGAUGUAUCCUUAUUCCUGCUUGGUUUCUUUCUUCAGUUACCUUUUGUUAUGAGGGAGGGUGGGCAACUAGGAGGCACACUGAGACAGGGUCUCUACAGAACCCUGGCCUAUUCUGCAGGCCAGACUGUCCUGGAGGACAUGGUAGUCCUUCUGUCUCAGCCUUUGAAAUGCUGGAAUCCCAGGAAUCCUGGCCUAUUCUGCAGGCCAGACUGUCCUGGAGGACAUGGUAGUCCUCCUGUCUCAGCCUUUGAAAUGCUGGAAUCCCAGGAACUCACCACCACACUUGGCUCUCUCAGAAGAGAUCCUUCCCUUGGUCAAGGUUUCAACAGUUUAACCUCUGAAUGGGCAAGACCCUGGUUACCCACGCCCUGGACAAGGGCAGCAAGCCCAGAACUUUCCUCUGCUUCUGCCCUUCCCUCUAGGGAGCAAUUGUUAUGAAUAGGUCCUUUCUGAAGCCUGUAGAAGGCCAGCUUGUCUUGUCGGCAUAAAAGGCAGGGUUGGGUCUCAAAGCCAGACUUGUGGGCCCACAGGGAAGCUCAGGAAAGGGCUUGGGCCUUCUCUGCAAGUGCAGCUACUGCAGUCUCUACCAUAUCAGCAAGAGCUCAGUCCUGCCAGGCAUGAUGACACACACCUCUAACCCCAGCCUUGAAGGGUAAAGCAAGGAGUUCAAGGCUAGUCUCAGUGACAAGACCUAAUCUCUAAAAACUAAAACCAAAUCAAACCGACAAAAGCUCAGGCCAAUCCUGGCUCUAAAGGUACAGUCAGACUGCCAGGCCUACAACACUCCCAUCUCCCUGUGGGGACAGCCUUCCUGAACUCAGAACUUACUGGGCAGAAGAAAAGGGAGCAUUCACUAGACAGCUGAUCUGGUUCCCAAUCUGGCUUGGCCCUGGCAGAUAGAUUAAUGGAAUGCAAUCAGGUACAUAAUUUAGAAACCUAGGGGAAAGCCUGCAGCCAUGACUACGGAUGGUUGGCAGAGUAAAAACAGACUUUGGAAUUGAGUAAUGGUAUAACUUUAACCCAGAAGAGAAAGGUUGCAAAACCAAGCUUUUGAAGGAAACACAUUCAAAGUUCCCUGUUUUCAUGUGACUAUGAGAGGGGCUGUUUCGGCACUCUAUGGGCUGAUUUUUAGAGAGGAAGGAGACUCAGUUGAGGGAACGCCUCCAUGAGAUCCAGCUGUAAGGCAUUUCCUCUCAACUAGUGAUCAAUGGGGAAGGACCCCGCCCAUUGUGGGUGGUGCCACCCCCACCCCCCACCGCUGGCUGGUGGUCCUGGGUUCUAUAAGAAAGCAGGCUGAGCAAGCCAUGGGGAACAGACAGUAAGCAGCAUCCUCCACGGCCUCUACCUCAGUUCUUGCCUCCAGGUUCCAGCCCUGGCUCCCAGCUUGAGUUUCUGUCCUGACUUCCUCCAUUGAUGAACUAGUCCCCUCCUGGCUGCCUGCAGAAGAAAGUCUCCUUGCUGCCUUCUGAUCAAGACAUAGAACUCUCAGCUCCUCCAGUACCAUGUCUGCCUGCCCAAUACCAUACUUUUGGCCAUGAUGAAAGUGAACUGAACCUCUGAAACUGUAAGCCAGCCCCAAUUAAAAGUUGUCUUUUGUAA
Molecule: long non-coding RNA, 3065 nt
Organism: Rattus norvegicus (Norway rat)
Lineage: Eukaryota; Metazoa; Chordata; Mammalia; Rodentia; Muridae
Source: RefSeq, a predicted model, not a curated record